UACAGGGGGUGCAAACGUUGCUCGGAAUCAUUGGGCGUAAAGCGCACGUAGGCGGUUCGUUAUGUCGGAUGUGAAAGCCCUUGGCUUAACCGAGGAAGUGCAUCCGAAACUGGCGAGCUAGAGUACGAAAGAGGAUCGCGGAAUUCCCGGUGUAGAGGUGGAAAUUCGUAGAUAUUCGGAAGAACACCAGUGGCGAAGGCGGCUCACUGGACAUGUAUUGACGCUGAGGUGCGAAAGCGUGGGGAGCAAACAGG
Molecule: ribosomal RNA, 254 nt
Filed under: uncultured bacterium
Lineage: Bacteria
Description: partial 16S ribosomal RNA
Rfam family: Bacterial small subunit ribosomal RNA
Source: RNAcentral